AUGGUUCAGUAUGUGGAUUUGUUGAUUGUCGAAUCUACAUAUUCCAUGGUUCAGAUUAAAAUGACACAAUCUUCAGUUUAUUUGCAUGACACAAUCUACAUGGUUCAUACUGUCAGCAUAUACUGCUUGUGUACAGUAUGUUUACUUCAUGUUCAGAUUAAAAUGUGUCUCCAUAUCUUUUUUAGCCACAAGCAGAUCUUAGAUGUAAGGUUAGCAUAA
This 219-nucleotide ribosomal RNA is filed under the name Triticum aestivum (bread wheat). Its description in RNAcentral is "partial small subunit ribosomal RNA". The record is from RNAcentral. Lineage: Eukaryota; Viridiplantae; Streptophyta; Magnoliopsida; Poales; Poaceae.